This 64-nucleotide transfer RNA is filed under the name Polydora cf. ciliata DS-2023. Its description in RNAcentral is "tRNA-Phe". It matches the Rfam family "tRNA". Rfam says of the family: Transfer RNA (tRNA) molecules are approximately 80 nucleotides in length. The record is from RNAcentral. Lineage: Eukaryota; Metazoa; Annelida; Polychaeta; Spionida; Spionidae.
UUGAGAAUAGCUUAAGUAAGAGCGCCACACUGAAGAUGUGGAAGUGAAUGUAUUUCUUCUCAUA